Molecule: non-coding RNA, 1515 nt
Organism: Anas platyrhynchos (mallard)
Lineage: Eukaryota; Metazoa; Chordata; Aves; Anseriformes; Anatidae
Source: RefSeq, a predicted model, not a curated record
UGAUAAGCUGUGCUCUUCUUGGUUUGGGUGCAAAAGGAACAGAAUCCUCCCUACAAAAGGCACUAAUUAAUGGCCCAGUCCUCCCAGGUGUACCCGAGGCAAUAGGGAAUUCAAGAUGCCUGGCCUUGCAACUGCAGGCCAGAAGGGAUGAUGCUUGUUGGCCUGGCACAGACCCUUGAGCAUUGACUCUAUUUACUCUGUUUUAUAAAUUCUGCAUGAGCCUGGCAUCUUACAGAGUCUUCAGUAGUUUCAGAACCUAUGGAUACAGACGAGGGUGCUGUCUGUGGGUACUUCUAGGAUAUUUUAAUGAGACAGAGGCAGAUGGAAGAGACGGUGACAGUCAGCACAGAAAAUCUGUGAGCAGCCUCACUCGGAGGGAAAGCAUCAGCUCUUGGAGUGCCUAUUGAAAAUUCGUACAGUGGUGAAGGAUCUAAAAGUGAAAAGAAAGGCAGUGAAGAGAGAAAGAUGAGACAAAUUCUUCUAGGAACUGUAAAAGUUAAAAAUGACAAGUUUUGAUUUCUCCAUCCCCCAUUGCCCUGAAUCCAGCUGCGUCUCUGAGACUUCAGUGAUUCAAAGUGACCUAAGAAACUGAAGAGAAGGAGAGAGCAAUCUAUGUAGAAAUUCCUUUCUCUGGAGACCUCUUCUGCCGUGUUGCUGAGUUUGUUGGAGUGUGGGAGGGAGAACCUGCAUUUCCUUUGGGCUCCUGCUAAUUCUGCCCAGCUCCUGAAGACCAGAGGGUGCCAACAUUUCUGAAUUAUUUGCACCCAAAUGACUUUCCAGCUGGGAUUUUUAACUACUAGCUACCUGCUGACUGCAAUCAAGCCUAGAGGAGCUGCUCCACCAGCACCUUCCUUCACUGUUUGAAACAAGUCCCCAGAACAUUUAAGCAACCUGGCACGCUGCCUCUAUUCCAGAAGGUGCCCGGACCCAUCUUACAGGUCCUGUGAUGCUACCAGCUGCAUUCCAAAAAGCCAGGUUGGAGGCUGCUCUGGGUUCCAUGGAGAAAUAAUGGCAACGGGAGCUAAAAAUCCAGUUAUGGAUACAGAGAGACCAGAAGAAGUGCAAUAAGAGUGAUGGAGAACAAGGCUACAAGCUGUGGUACUUCUUGGUAGUGUUGCCUUUCCUGGGACCAUCCUGUGGCUCCAGCAGGAACGUUGGCUAUCUUCCAGGGGGUAUUGCUGAAGGAGCAUGUUUGAACCAAGAAUAUGGCCGCUACUUGGAGGACAUACAUGCAGAGGUGGGGAAACAAGGACAGGAGACAGCUGAGAGAAGUGUCUAAGUCACUGAGAUGGCAUUACAAGUGCGAGAAAGAUUGUGAGGAAGGGGCUGAGAGAGGACAUGGCAGGAGGUUUGAGCAGAGAUGUGAGCAGGGCAUGAAGUGUGAAAUGUUUAGCUACUUGUAUCUCAAGUUCAUUAUGGAAAUCGAUGUUGCCUAAGGAGAUGAAGACAGCAUCAUUUGAUGUCAAGGGGUUUGCUGCAUGGUAUUAAAUAAAUCAUCUCCCUAUUUUACUAUGA